Molecule: ribosomal RNA, 609 nt
Filed under: uncultured bacterium
Lineage: Bacteria
Description: bacterial SSU rRNA
Rfam family: Bacterial small subunit ribosomal RNA
Source: RNAcentral
CCCAGACUCCUACGGGAGGCAGCAGUGGGGAAUAUUGCACAAUGGGCGCAAGCCUGAUGCAGCGACGCCGCGUGGGGGAUGACGGCCUUCGGGUUGUAAACUCCUUUCGCCCGGGACGAAGCCCACCUGGUGGGUGACGGUACCGUGGAGAAGAAGCACCGGCUAACUACGUGCCAGCAGCCGCGGUAAUACGUAGGGUGCAAGCGUUGUCCGGAUUUACUGGGCGUAAAGAGCUCGUAGGUGGUGUGUCGCGUCGUCUGUGAAAUUCCGGGGCUUAACUCCGGGCGUGCAGGCGAUACGGGCACGACUAGAGUGCUGUAGGGGUAACUGGAAUUCCUGGUGUAGCGGUGAAAUGCGCAGAUAUCAGGAGGAACACCGAUGGCGAAGGCAGGUUACUGGGCAGUUACUGACGCUGAGGAGCGAAAGCAUGGGGAGCGAACAGGAUUAGAUACCCUGGUAGUCCAUGCUGUAAAUCGGUGGGCGCUAGGUGUGGGCUGUGUGUUUGCAGUCUGUGCCGUAGCUAACGUAUUAAGCGCCCCGCCUGGGGAGUAUCGGCCGCAAGGCUAAAAUCUUCAAAUGGAAGUUGAUCGGAAUGGGCGAAUUCCUGCA